This 420-nucleotide ribosomal RNA is filed under the name Chromobacterium sp. 09A(2010). RNAcentral's name for it is "bacterial SSU rRNA". It matches the Rfam family "Bacterial small subunit ribosomal RNA", at positions 272 to 684 of the family's 1533-position model. The record is from RNAcentral. Lineage: Bacteria; Pseudomonadati; Pseudomonadota; Betaproteobacteria; Neisseriales; Chromobacteriaceae.
GGCGACGAUCAGUAGCGGGUCUGAGAGGAUGAUCCGCCACACUGGGACUGAGACACGGCCCAGACUCCUACGGGAGGCAGCAGUGGGGAAUUUUGGACAAUGGGGGCAACCCUGAUCCAGCCAUGCCGCGUGUCUGAAGAAGGCCUUCGGGUUGUAAAGGACUUUUGUCAGGGAGGAAAUCCCGCUGGUUAAUACCUGGCGGGGAUGACAGUACCUGAAGAAUAAGCACCGGCUAACUACGUGCCAGCAGCCGCGGUAAUACGUAGGGUGCGAGCGUUAAUCGGAAUUACUGGGCGUAAAGCGUGCGCAGGCGGUUUUGCAAGUCUGAUGUGAAAGCCCCGGGCUCAACCUGGGAACGGCAUUGGAGACUGCAAGACUAGAGUGCGUCAGAGGGGGGUAGAAUUCCGCGUGUAGCAGUGA